GCUGUGAGCUCACAGUUGGCUGUAGAAUCACUUCUAAGUAAGAAAAUUGCAGGCAUUUGGCAGCACGCACAGAUAUCCUGCAAAGAGAAGAAGUCUAAUCUCUGAAAGUAUUACGCUCAUAUGGGUUGCCAGAAAGUCUGAGGGACCCAUCAGCCAAUUUCCAUACUUGGAUCUAGAAGCAUAGAAAUGAAGGAGUGUGUACUUCCAUCAAUAUUUCAACAACCUCUGGCUUUGGAACUAUCUCAAACAGCCCAUCUCUCUACUUUGUGGGUGUGCAUCUGUAAAAAAUGGCAUGAUCUCUGCUAUUUCAACAGUGACUUCUCACUGUAAUGUGCUCCAUGUGCUGCACAGGUCUGCAUUGUCCUCCUCCAGUUGGGCACGUCCGUGAGCAAAGCAAGCUGAGAUCUCACACGAUAAUGUUGACAGUGCAACCCAAAAGUCAAAGUUUUGAAAAAACAGUGCCAAGCAAACAGAUCACACUGGAAACAAAAGCCAAAUACAGGAGCUGAAAGCUGGAUUCGUUUCACAUGCCUGAGUAAGAACAAACUGAAUCUGUCUAUCAGCAAAGGGCGGUUACAAGGAUUUGUGUCUCAGGAACUCCACUCUCUGCCAUGGAUGAGAAUAUUUUACCUCCAUCAAGCAUGGGAUGCCUAUCCAUUUUCAUAUAUCAUUCCCAGGUCGUAAGAAAAAAUUAAAUAAAUCAUGAGAUUCAUAAUAAUAA
Molecule: long non-coding RNA, 721 nt
Organism: Passer domesticus (house sparrow)
Lineage: Eukaryota; Metazoa; Chordata; Aves; Passeriformes; Passeridae
Exons: 3
Source: RefSeq, a predicted model, not a curated record